CUCCCCGCCCCCCAUCACUUGGCUCUCGUCUGGGCGGGGAGGGAUUUUUUUCUGGAAGUCUGCCCCCCACCCCACGGAGCAGGAUUUGAGCCUGGGCUCCAAUCUGGGCGGAGGCUGCAGGGCCCGCGGGGCACCCCCACCCCCCACCGCUCCGCGCACGCCUCCCCAGAGCCCCGAAAGGCGCAGCCCCAGGGGGCCUCCUGCACCCCCGGAGGAGGCAGCGGCGGACCAUGAUGCCCCAGUGCCCUCUUUCCCGGCCAAGGCACCUUCUCAGUGAAAUGGGGGGAAUAUUAAACCCUCCGUGUCAGAGCAGGGGCUCAAUCAGGCAGCUCUGAUGGGUCCCAAAGGGCACCAGCAGCCCUGGGAUGGGCAGGGGGCACAGCAGUGCCCUCGGCUUGGAGGGGGGCUCCCCCUGUGCCUGGCCGGGGCACCAGCUCCCCGCCCACUCCUGGGAUAGUGGCUUGGAGAGGAAGCAGUAAGCGCUGGGUCCCCGCUGGGCAGGGGCAGACUCCAGUUUCACUUUCUGCUGUGUCAUGGGGUGGGGGGUGGCAUCGGGGCCCAGCUGGCCAGCUGGGGCGGGCACCUAGACAGCUGCCAGCCCAGCUGCCAGAGCACAACCCACACCCACUCCUGCCCAGCAGCCUGCCAGAAUAGGGGUUGGGCCCUCGGGCCACCCCUUAACUGCCUCUCCCCACAAAGUGGGGAGAACCUCAAGUGAGAAAAGCCAGGUGACGGGGUGAAAUGGUUCCUGUUGAUUCUAGAUGAGAGCUCCCUGACCGGACACCUGCUUCCUGCCUCCCUUCGCUGGGCACAUGUCUGCUGAGGACCUACUGUGUGCCAAGCUCUGUGACAGGUGCCAGGGGUACACCAGGGAGCAAGACAGACCCUGCCCUCUUGGGGCUCCCAGUUGAGUCGGGGGGAGACAGACGAAAGUGUAAGCAAAGAAAGAAAGAAUCCCCUGUUGUGGGGAAAGUUCCACACUGUAGGCUUGGCGUUAGCAUCUCAGGGAGGGGCGUGCAUACAUGCCUGUCUAUGCACAUGUGCGUGUCAGCAAUGUGUCAGCUCCGGGGACACACAGCUAGAUGAAGAGCACAGACCUGGGGGCCAGAUGUCCCCUGUUUGAAUCUGGACUCUUUCACUGACGGGUGUGUGAACUCAGGUGACCUCAGGCAAGUCCCCGCUCCUGAGUUCCCCUGUCUGGGUGCUGGAGUACAAGUGUCUCCAUGACAGAGCUGCAGUGAGGAUGAACUAAGCGAACAUCCCUAAAGACGAAGGGCUGUGCCUGGCUCCGACCAUGUGCUAGAUAAACCUGCCAGUAAUUUCAGCGAAUGAAACGCAGAUCCUGGAAAGGCCAGAAGAUGGAAAACGCUCCAGUUUUGAUAAAAGGAGGUCUGCUCUGCCUCCAGUCCUCCCUCCUGCUGGUCAGGAGGCGCAAAGAGGAGCUGAUGAAUUGAGGGAGAAGAAACGAGGCCAAUGUGAGCCGCCUUUCAAGGGCUGUGCUGAUACACAAACCCAACAACCUGAAACUGGUCCAAGAGGGGAUUAAAGCAACAUGUUAUUGUGAGUGAUUGCUUAAUUUAUUGAGCUGUGGCAAGAUCUGUAAUGAAAUACAGCCCUUGCAACUGAUAACCUCCGGCUGCAAUUGAACUUGACAAUUAAGGAAUAUUUUCCAAGGAUUUUUCUGGAACAGCUUAGAAUUUUUUGUCUCCGUGGUGGGGUGCUUCUGAGCACUCAUUUUGCCAGGCAAGCUUUUUUCUUCUUUUCUUUUUUGGGAACGAAAGGCUGAUGUUAAUAGGAAAUAAGCGUCACUUUAUUGACUGCCUUGUGCACACCAGGCACUUAAUAUACUUUAUCUCUAAUCCUGACAACGGCCCAACGAAGGAACUCUUAUUCGUCCCUAUUUUACAGAUAUGAGGUUUCUAGGUGUUCAGUAACUUUCCCAAGUGACAUUGUCCAAGUCUGUAGCUAUUAGCCACUGGUGGCUAUUUAUGUCUAAAUUAAUUAAAAAUUAUCAAAGAAAUUCACUUCCUACGUUGCACUAGUAGCCAGCGCAAGUGCCCACUCACCAGGUGUGGCUGGUGGGCUCCACACUGGACAGCUCAGAUACGGACCAUUUCAAUGACUGUGGGAAGUUCUCGUGAUCGGUGCUGUCCCAGAAUGUUCACAGGUAGAAGUCCAACCCCUUGCUUCAAAAUUCUACCAUUACCCCUCGCUUCUUGCUUCUCUUCCUGGGGCUGAGGAGUAAGGACUGGAGCUGUGAGGCUAAACCCUGGCUGCACAUUCACGUUACCUGGGCUGCUUUAAAAAAAUAUUGAUGAUAUGGUCCCGGCCCUGGAGAUUCUGACUUUACUGUGAUCAGGGGGUGGGGAGGCGGGGAGACAGGCAUGAGGGGCUUUAUAAUUCCCCAUGUGUACAGCCAGGAUUGAGAGCAGCUAGAAGAGCAGGUCCACACACAGUAAGAUGGGAAGAACUGGCUCAUCUCCCAGCAGAAUGGGGUCGCUGUGGACCCAGGCGUGGGCUUCCCCCAGGCCUGCAUCUGAUAUGAGGUUUCUAGGUGUUCAGUAACUUCCAUCAGACGGCUCGGGUUCCUUCCUGCAGGCAGGGAAGACUUGGGUGCUUUCUCACACGUGUCCUGCUCGAUGGAGACACGGUGAGGAGCUCUGCUUUCAGGAACAGGCCCUGUCACGCCGCCACUGAAGAAAGGAGAUGGGAUGCGAGACCACAGGGACAAAGUGGGAUCUGCAGCCCCACCUUUGGAGUGGAAGCUCGGGACGAAUCCAUGCUGUAAUCUGCCUGACAGAAUAAAAGUGUUUCCCAGCUCUGUCAGCAAAGACAUUGCAUGGGAAGAAAAAGGGAGGGAGAGAGAACCUGCGGAUUGAGACGUAAGAGACACAUCAACCAAUCCCAAUGGAUGGAAAGGGUUAGAAAUACCAAUCCCGUCGCAGUGAGCACCGCCAGCACUCAGAUUAGGGUCUCUGCGCACCACCUCUGACGAGAAACCGGGGUUCUGUGCAGAGACAGAGAUCCCAGGUCUGAGGCAGGACAUGUGCAAGAGGAGCCUGGAACGUCCUGUCACCCGGGGAGCGUGGAAGCUCUGGAAGACUCUGGAUCAUGUCCGAAAAGAUGAAGGGGACAAUGUGAUAAGACAGCUGGCCAGAUGGGACAGUGGAGCAUCAAUAAGAACAGUAACUGCACUGGACUGGAAUGUGUUAGAUAUGUCCAAUCUAAGAGUUCACAAUGAUACCUAGAAAAAAAAGCAUAAACUCAUUUGUUAUCUUUGGGGGAUGUUGAGAAACCAACUCAUCAUGUUGAAAACUGUCAAAUAAAAGGAAAGAGUCAAGUCUUUUUCCUUUCUGGUAUGAACUGUACCUUACAGUAACCAAAUAGCUGAUAAAGGAAGUGUCUUUUUAUGGAGGUAUUCCAGCUAACACACAAAUACAGAAGGGUAGGAUUUAUUUGCCACUAUUUUGCAACCUCUAAUGGGCCCAGACAGUGAUCAUCGAUGCUGCUAACAUCACCAGACAUUCUGUGCCUUCAAAUGGAAACACACACACACACGCACACGCACACACACACACACACACACACUCACACCAUUAAUCUAAGUAGCUUCUAGAUCUAAUUACUGAUUUACAAGAAAUAUAUGGGGGAGAGGAACAUAAUACCAAUCUGGUAAUGCAAUAGGCAAAGUCCAGACUGUAGGACGCUCUACAGACAAACCAACCCAGCUUCUCAACAAAGACAUUGCAUGGGAAGAAAAAGGGAGGGAGAGAGAACCUGCAGAUUGAGAGAAAUGUAAGAGACACAUCAACCAAUCCCAAUGGAGGGAACUUGUAUGGGUCCCAAUUUAUCCAACUGUAAAGAAAACAUUUAUGAAACAACCAAAGAUUUUGAACACUGAGUAGAUAUUUGCUGAUAUUAACGCAUUACUGUUAGUUUUAGUAGGGGUCAUGAUGGGGUAAACCCCACUCCUCUUUUGGAGUCAUAUACGAAAACAUUUGCAAAAGAAACGAUUUCUGUCUGGAUUUUGCUUCUAAAUAUCUGAGAUGAAAGAGGAGGAGAACGGGUAUAGAUGGAACAAGACUGGCUGAGAGUUGGUGGUUGUUGAAGCCGGGAGAUGGGUAGUUGGGGUUCAUUGUACCACAUUGCUCUUGUGUAUGCUUAAAGCUUUUCAUAAUUAAAGUAAAUUUAAAAGUGAA
Myotis lucifugus (little brown bat) is the source of this 4199-nucleotide long non-coding RNA. RefSeq lists it as uncharacterized. The transcript has 3 exons. Lineage: Eukaryota; Metazoa; Chordata; Mammalia; Chiroptera; Vespertilionidae. The record is from RefSeq and is a predicted model, not a curated record.